This 498-nucleotide ribosomal RNA is filed under the name uncultured bacterium. RNAcentral's name for it is "partial 16S ribosomal RNA". It matches the Rfam family "Bacterial small subunit ribosomal RNA", at positions 30 to 523 of the family's 1533-position model. The record is from RNAcentral.
AUUGAACGCUGGCGGCAUGCCUUACACAUGCAAGUCGAACGGUAACAGGUCUUCGGAUGCUGACGAGUGGCGAACGGGUGAGUAAUACAUCGGAACGUGCCUAGUAGUGGGGGAUAACUACUCGAAAGAGUGGCUAAUACCGCAUGAGAUCUACGGAUGAAAGCAGGGGAUCGCAAGACCUUGUGCUACUAGAGCGGCCGAUGGCAGAUUAGGUAGUUGGUGGGAUAAAAGCUUACCAAGCCGACGAUCUGUAGCUGGUCUGAGAGGACGAUCAGCAACACUGGGACUGGUACACGGCCCAGACUCCUACGGGAGGCAGCAGUGGGGAAUUUUGGACAAUGGGCGAAAGCCUGAUCCAGCAAUGCCGCGUGCAGGAUGAAGGCCUUCGGGUUGUAAACUGCUUUUGUACGGAACGAAAAGCCCCGGGUUAAUACCCUGGGGUCAUGACGGUACCGUAAGAAUAAGCACCGGCUAACUACGUGCCAGCCGCCGCGGUAA